CUACGGGCGCAGCAGUGAGGAAUAUUGCGCAAUGGGGGAAACCCUGACGCAGCGACGCCGCGUGAGUGAUGAAGGCCCUUGGGUUGUAAAGCUCUGUUCUUGGGGAAUAAAAAAAUGAAGGUACCCAAGAAGAAAGGACCGGCUAACUUCGUGCCAGCAGCCGCGGUAAGACGAGGGGUCCAAGCGUUGUUCGGAAUCAUUGGGCGUAAAGCGGGUGUAGGUGGACCUGUAAGUCAGAAGUGAAAGCCCCGGGCUCAACCCGGGAAGUGCUUUUGAUACUGCAGGUCUUGAGUGUGGGAGAGGAUAGUAGAAUUCCAGGUGUAGUGGUGAAAUACGUAGAUAUCUGGAGGAAUACCGGUGAGGAAGCUGGCUAUCUGGCCCAACACUGACACUCAGACCCGAAAGCGUGGGGAGCAAACAGGAUUAGAUACCCCCGUAGUC
This 441-nucleotide ribosomal RNA is filed under the name uncultured bacterium. RNAcentral describes it as "partial 16S ribosomal RNA". It matches the Rfam family "Bacterial small subunit ribosomal RNA", at positions 339 to 795 of the family's 1533-position model. The record is from RNAcentral.